This 28-nucleotide non-coding RNA is filed under the name Mus musculus (house mouse). The record is from RNAcentral. Lineage: Eukaryota; Metazoa; Chordata; Mammalia; Rodentia; Muridae.
UCCAUGGUGUCUGAACCAGCCAGUCCUA